GAUGAAGAACGUAGCGAAAUGCGAUAAGUAAUGUGAAUUGCAGAAUUCAGUGAAUCAUCGAAUCUUUGAACGCACAUUGCGCCCCCUGGUAUUCCGGCGGGCAUGCCUGUUCGAGCGUCAUUUCAACCCUCAAGCCCUGCUUGGUGUUGGGGAUCGGCGUUGCCUCCUCCGUCGUUCGCGGCGGGGUGAGGUCGCCGCCCCCGAAAUGAAUUGGCGGUCUCGUCGCAGCUUUCCUUUGCGUAGUAACAUACCACCUCGCAACCAGGAGCGCGGCGCGGCCACUGCCGUAAAACGCCCAACUUUUUCAAGAGUUGACCUCGAAUCAGGUAGGAAUACCCGCUGAACUUAAGCAUAUCAAAAGCGGAGGA
Molecule: unclassified non-coding RNA, 368 nt
Filed under: soil metagenome
Description: partial contains 5.8S ribosomal RNA, internal transcribed spacer 2, and large subunit ribosomal RNA
Rfam family: 5.8S ribosomal RNA (bases 1-120)
Source: RNAcentral